CAUGCCCCUUGAGGCGUUGCAGUCUGACAUUGUGUCAAGCCUGUGUCAUAAGGUGGCAGAGAAUAAAAGGUCUACAUUCACAUCUGCAUUCAAAACCUCCAACAGUGGGGAUUUGGAGUGAUGUAGUUAACCAACAGA
Molecule: small nucleolar RNA, 138 nt
Organism: Chelmon rostratus (copperband butterflyfish)
Lineage: Eukaryota; Metazoa; Chordata; Actinopteri; Chaetodontiformes; Chaetodontidae
Product: small nucleolar RNA SNORA17
Exons: 1
Source: RefSeq, a predicted model, not a curated record